Molecule: ribosomal RNA, 372 nt
Filed under: Pseudomonas aeruginosa
Lineage: Bacteria; Pseudomonadati; Pseudomonadota; Gammaproteobacteria; Pseudomonadales; Pseudomonadaceae
Description: bacterial SSU rRNA
Rfam family: Bacterial small subunit ribosomal RNA
Source: RNAcentral
ACCGGAGGAAGGUGGGGAUGACGUCAAGUCAUCAUGGCCCUUACGGCCAGGGCUACACACGUGCUACAAUGGUCGGUACAAAGGGUUGCCAAGCCGCGAGGUGGAGCUAAUCCCAUAAAACCGAUCGUAGUCCGGAUCGCAGUCUGCAACUCGACUGCGUGAAGUCGGAAUCGCUAGUAAUCGUGAAUCAGAAUGUCACGGUGAAUACGUUCCCGGGCCUUGUACACACCGCCCGUCACACCAUGGGAGUGGGUUGCUCCAGAAGUAGCUAGUCUAACCGCAAGGGGGACGGUUACCACGGAGUGAUUCAUGACUGGGGUGAAGUCGUAACAAGGUAGCCGUAGGGGAACCUGCGGCUGGAUCACCUCCUUA